This 220-nucleotide ribosomal RNA is filed under the name uncultured bacterium. Its description in RNAcentral is "partial 16S ribosomal RNA". It matches the Rfam family "Bacterial small subunit ribosomal RNA", at positions 1281 to 1500 of the family's 1533-position model. The record is from RNAcentral.
CUAGGUCUCAGUUCAGAUUGCAGGCUGCAACCCGCCUGCAUGAAGUCGGAAUUGCUAGUAAUCGCGGAUCAGCAUGCCGCGGUGAAUAACGUUCCCGGGCCUUGUACACACCGCCCGUCACACCAUGGGAGCCGGUAAUACCCGAAGUCAGUAGUCCAACCUCGUGAGGACGCUGCCGAAGGUAGGAUUGGCGACUGGGGUGAAGUCGUAACAAGGUAAC